Molecule: microRNA, 18 nt
Filed under: Cervus elaphus (red deer)
Lineage: Eukaryota; Metazoa; Chordata; Mammalia; Artiodactyla; Cervidae
Description: PC-3p-23288
Source: RNAcentral
UGGAGAGCCUGGCAAAGC